Non-coding RNA from Sturnus vulgaris (Common starling), 1073 nucleotides. The record is from RefSeq and is a predicted model, not a curated record. NCBI's taxonomy places the organism in Eukaryota, Metazoa, Chordata, Aves, Passeriformes, Sturnidae.
AGCAGCAGCAGCAGCGCCUCAGACCCGCCACCCAUCGCUGGAUGUUCCUCCACUUUACCCACCGUAUCAAACAACUUUUACCAGUAAAUAUCGGUUUAUUCCUGAAACCAGAAGCCCUAAACAUACCUUUGUUUAUAAGUUUUCCUGCUCUGCAUCUCUGGGAACUGGAGCCCGCAGGACCUAGAGCCUUCUGUUGCCUGGGUGGUUCUGAUUGCUGGCAGUUCUGUAAUACAACCUUAAUCUGAGCAGUUGAGGCUGGUCCUACCUUAUCUUCAGACGUCUUGCGGAGGACUCCUGUUACCAGUUUGGUACUCAAAAGCUACACCCCACCAUCAGAAGUCACUUUUUGGUUUUGUUUUUUUUUUUUUCCAAAGGCAGUGAUAGCUCACCCUCUCUAGCUCUAAUGGAAAACCUGAUAAUUGCAAUGCAACUUUCUAAUAAAUUGUUCAUAUAUUCAUAAUUCCGUUGCAAUCCCAAAUUGGAGAAGAGAUCUGUUAAAGUGCACUGGUGUACCAAGCCUCAGAACCACUGCUUUCUCCAGCUCAUAGGAUGCUUUUCCAGACUGUGGAUACGUGUAUGUGUACUGCUGUGUUGAUAAGUAAAUGCCAACGAUGGAGUUCGUUGCUUUUAUACAUCCCAAAGAGAAGUUCUCCACCGUUCAGUGUCUGUUUUCUGACCGAAAAGGCGUGUGUUUGUGAACAGUGUUCACGCCAGCUCUGCCAUGCCACCCUCACAUCAGCUCACACCAAUGCCAGGAUGGGAGGAGUUGCCUGCGUACCUUCCCCAAAACACCCCGGGCCGAGUGGCAUCGUCAGGGAGCAGUUCUAACCUGUGUCCUUUGGGCUUUGUGUAAAGCAAAUGCAGAACAAGAAAAAUCGAGAUGUUAAAUCCAUUAGAAAACAAAUUCCUUAUUGUACAGUAGUAUGGAGAUCUCUAGUCAACCUGCCAUUAAUAAUAGAUUCUUAUUUUUUGAAUGAUCUAUUUAAAAGAACAGCAAGCAUUGUAUUUGCUAGUAAAUCUGAAGUGUUUACAUGGAAUUACUAAAUAAAUUAUUUGAUCUAAGAUGGCUCUUA